Molecule: RNA transcript, 222 nt
Organism: Camelina sativa (false flax)
Lineage: Eukaryota; Viridiplantae; Streptophyta; Magnoliopsida; Brassicales; Brassicaceae
Source: RefSeq, a predicted model, not a curated record
UCGAUAUCUAUGAGAUUCUAAGUGACCCUGUACAGCGUAUGGUUUACGAUGAAAUUCAUGGUUAUGCUGUGACUGCCACCAAUCCUUUUCUUGAUGACUCUAGCCCAAGAGAUCAUGUUUUUGUUGAUGAGUUUGCUUGUAUAGGCUGCAAAAAUUGUGCCAAUGUGGCUCCAGAUAUAUUUGAAACUGAGGAAGAUUUUGGAAGAGCAAAGGGCCUGUAAC